This 1218-nucleotide long non-coding RNA is filed under the name Capra hircus (goat). RNAcentral's name for it is "lncRNA (ENSCHIG00010000820.1)". The record is from RNAcentral. Lineage: Eukaryota; Metazoa; Chordata; Mammalia; Artiodactyla; Bovidae.
UAAUUCCACAUUCAUUCUGGAUUUUCACUUGAGAAAAAAAUAUUGAUCUUUUACAUAGAGUUAUUUUGAGCCAAAGUUUUCUCAUUUACGGACCAGUAUGAAUUGAAUUUUGGAUGGUCCGUCUGCUUCUUGCUGAGCUCGGCAAUUUAUUUUUUUCAAAGCAGAAUCAGCCUCAGUUACUAAUUCAUGACAAUAACUAAAGCCCCACAGAUGUUGCCACUGGAGCUGAGAGCUAUCCUUGUCGUGAGCUAUGAAUGCGAGCAGCAUGGCUCCCUAAGCCAGUGCUCUGACAGACUGUCGCAUUUCACCAUCCACUUUACUGAUUCAUUUUAGAAAAUCAGCUUCAUCUUUUCUCUCCUGGGGGAAAUGAGCACUCAUGUUCUCUUCGACACAGCAGCUCUUUUUUUUUCCUCUCUUAGUUGAGUCAAUGUGCCUCUUUCUAAGACUGCCUAACUCCCUGGAAUUAUUCCACCUAAGUAAGAAGAGCUGUUCCUCCCUCCAAAAGUGGUCCACUUCCUGGCACCUGGAGAGAGGACAGUACAUGGUAGAUCAUUAAUAUUAGCUCGGAAAGAGAGGGCUUUGAAAAUAAGUAAGGCUUCCCUCAACCCUUUUAGAGUUAGAGCUAGGAGAUGAGUAGCAAGUUUGGAGUCUGAAUAAAUACAUUUCUUUCCAGACAAAGAAAUCUCUAAGAAAAGAUAGAUCAUUAUGGUAAAAGCUUAGAGAAAGAAAGAGGCAGUGGAUGACCAGAACUACUACACAGUUCCUCUCUGUCCUCUCCUCCCUCCCUCCCUAGAUUCAGCACCAGUGUGAGCUAGCUACUCUGCCUAGUGGAGCUCCUCCAAUAACUAUUCAGAAGCAGCCUUCAGUCUAGCCGUCUACUUAAACUUUGUGAUGGGCUCCUAAUGUAUAACAGUGAUUGCAUUCUUUUCAGUCCCAGGAAAGUCUCCAGUAAGAUGCAGAGACUGAGCAAGACUUUGUGUUUGGGGGCAUAACUGGCUUGGGAUAUUUUAAUAGUGCAGUUAAAGAUCAACAAAGGCAAGUCCUUUCUCCCCUCCUGUGUUUGUGCUCUACCCUAAUAUUAAGACUGAUAAAGUGUGAUGACAUCUCAGAUUUCAGGCAUGCUUCAUUUUACUAUGCUUCUCUUUAUGGUGCUGGCAGAUGUUUCACUUUUUACAAAUGGAGGGUUUGUGGUAACUGUGUUUUGAGCAAGUCUAUGGG